RNAcentral lists this ribosomal RNA (497 nucleotides) under uncultured bacterium. RNAcentral's name for it is "partial 16S ribosomal RNA". It matches the Rfam family "Bacterial small subunit ribosomal RNA", at positions 28 to 507 of the family's 1533-position model. The record is from RNAcentral.
GAUGAACGCUGGCGGCGUGCCUAAUACAUGCAAGUCGAACGCAUAGCGAAAGGUGCUUGCACCUUUCAAGUGAGUGGCGAACGGGUGAGUAACACGUGGACAACCUGCCUCAAGGCUGGGGAUAACAUUUGGAAACAGAUGCUAAUACCGAAUAAAACUUAGUGUCGCAUGACACAAAGUUAAAAGGCGCUUCGGCGUCACCUAGAGAUGGAUCCGCGGUGCAUUAGUUAGUUGGUGGGGUAAAGGCCUACCAAGACAAUGAUGCAUAGCCGAGUUGAGAGACUGAUCGGCCACAUUGGGACUGAGACACGGCCCAAACUCCUACGGGAGGCUGCAGUAGGGAAUCUUCCACAAUGGGCGAAAGCCAGAUGGAGCAACGCCGCGUGUGUGAUGAAGGCUUUCGGGUCGUAAAGCACUGUUGUAUGGGAAGAACAGCUAGAAUAGGAAAUGAUUUUAGUUUGACGGUACCAUACCAGAAAGGGACGGCUAAAUACGUG